This is a non-coding RNA of Triticum urartu, 121 nucleotides long. The record is from Rfam. NCBI's taxonomy places the organism in Eukaryota, Viridiplantae, Streptophyta, Magnoliopsida, Poales, Poaceae.
CAAGUACUCCCUCCGUCCGAAAAUACUUGUCAAAAAGAUGUAUCUAGAACUAAUAUACAGUUAGAUACAUCCCCUUUUAUUCAUUUUGAUGACAAGUAUUUCCGGACGGAGGGAGUACUAC